Molecule: ribosomal RNA, 716 nt
Filed under: uncultured bacterium
Lineage: Bacteria
Description: bacterial SSU rRNA
Rfam family: Bacterial small subunit ribosomal RNA
Source: RNAcentral
CUUCUUUUUCACCGGAGCUUGCUCCACCGGAAAAAGAGGAGUGGCGAACGGGUGAGUAACACGUGGGUAACCUGCCCAUCAGAAGGGGAUAACACUUGGAAACAGGUGCUAAUACCGUAUAACAAUCAAAACCGCAUGGUUUUGAUUUGAAAGGCGCUUUCGGGUGUCGCUGAUGGAUGGACCCGCGGUGCAUUAGCUAGUUGGUGAGGUAACGGCUCACCAAGGCCACGAUGCAUAGCCGACCUGAGAGGGUGAUCGGCCACAUUGGGACUGAGACACGGCCCAAACUCCUACGGGAGGCAGCAGUAGGGAAUCUUCGGCAAUGGACGAAAGUCUGACCGAGCAACGCCGCGUGAGUGAAGAAGGUUUUCGGAUCGUAAAACUCUGUUGUUAGAGAAGAACAAGGAUGAGAGUAACUGUUCAUCCCUUGACGGUAUCUAACCAGAAAGCCACGGCUAACUACGUGCCAGCAGCCGCGGUAAUACGUAGGUGGCAAGCGUUGUCCGGAUUUAUUGGGCGUAAAGCGAGCGCAGGCGGUUUCUUAAGUCUGAUGUGAAAGCCCCCGGCUCAACCGGGGAGGGUCAUUGGAAACUGGGAGACUUGAGUGCAGAAGAGGAGAGUGGAAUUCCAUGUGUAGCGGUGAAAUGCGUAGAUAUAUGGAGGAACCCAGUGGCGAAGCGGCUCUCUGGUCUGUACUGACGCUGAGCUCGAAGCGU